GUUGUCUUUGAUAAAGAAUAGUAUCGAGUGAGCGAAAUCGUGCGAAAUGAUAAACAAUGUGAGGUCAACCGGCAACUUGGAUGCAACAUGAGCAUUAAGAUUCAUUCCAUGCAUAGCCGCCUAGAUCGAUUUUUUUGAAAAUCUUAGAGAUUUAAGCGAGGAGCAGAGAGAGCGCUUUCAUCAGGAUAUUCGCUUCAUGGAGGAACGCUCCCAGGACUUUUGAAAAUAUGAUGGCUGACUACUGUUGGAUUAUCCAGAAUAGUAGUAAAACUCCAACUAAUUCAAGAAAGUCACAUAAAAGAAAGUUUUGUUCUAAUUAGAUUGUUAAAUAAAUUGUUAUAUGACGGGAUA
Melitaea cinxia (Glanville fritillary) is the source of this 351-nucleotide long non-coding RNA. RefSeq lists it as uncharacterized. Lineage: Eukaryota; Metazoa; Arthropoda; Insecta; Lepidoptera; Nymphalidae. The transcript has 2 exons. The record is from RefSeq and is a predicted model, not a curated record.